This 72-nucleotide transfer RNA is filed under the name Helicosporidium sp. ex Simulium jonesi. RNAcentral's name for it is "tRNA-Asn". It matches the Rfam family "tRNA". From Rfam's summary of the family: Transfer RNA (tRNA) molecules are approximately 80 nucleotides in length. Their secondary structure includes four short double-helical elements and three loops (D, anti-codon, and T loops). Further hydrogen bonds mediate the characteristic L-shaped molecular structure. tRNAs have two regions of fundamental functional importance: the anti-codon, which is responsible for specific mRNA codon recognition, and the 3' end, to which the tRNAs corresponding amino acid is attached (by aminoacyl-tRNA synthetases). tRNAs cope with the degeneracy of the genetic code in two manners: having more than one tRNA (with a specific anti-codon) for a particular amino acid; and 'wobble' base-pairing, i.e. permitting non-standard base-pairing at the 3rd anti-codon position. The record is from RNAcentral. Lineage: Eukaryota; Viridiplantae; Chlorophyta; Trebouxiophyceae; Chlorellales; Chlorellaceae.
UCCUCAAUAGCUCAAAGGUAGAGCAAAUAGCUGUUAACUAUUUUGUUAGAAGUUCAAGUCUUCUUUGGGGAG